Molecule: ribosomal RNA, 115 nt
Filed under: Pedosphaera sp.
Lineage: Bacteria; Pseudomonadati; Verrucomicrobiota; Pedosphaerae; Pedosphaerales; Pedosphaeraceae
Source: RNAcentral
UAUGGUGGCCUUGGCCAGUGGUCCGACCCGAUCCCAUCCCGAACUCGGCCGUCAAACACUGGCUUGCCGAUGGUAGCACCUGUAUAGCUUGUGCGAGAGUAGGGAGCCGCCAACC